RNAcentral lists this ribosomal RNA (599 nucleotides) under uncultured bacterium. RNAcentral's name for it is "bacterial SSU rRNA". It matches the Rfam family "Bacterial small subunit ribosomal RNA", at positions 835 to 1433 of the family's 1533-position model. The record is from RNAcentral.
CGUUUUCCGCGCCGUAGCUAACGCAUUAAGUGCCCCGCCUGGGGAGUACGGCCGCAAGGCUAAAACUCAAAGGAAUUGACGGGGGCCCGCACAAGCGGCGGAGCAUGCGGAUUAAUUCGAUGCAACGCGAAGAACCUUACCAAGGCUUGACAUGAACCGGUAACGCCUGGAGACAGGUGCCCCGCUUGCGGUCGGUUUACAGGUGGUGCAUGGUUGUCGUCAGCUCGUGUCGUGAGAUGUUGGGUUAAGUCCCGCAACGAGCGCAACCCUCGUUCUAUGUUGCCAGCACGUGAUGGUGGGGACUCAUAGGAGACUGCCGGGGUCAACUCGGAGGAAGGUGGGGACGACGUCAAAUCAUCAUGCCCCUUAUGUCUUGGGCUUCACGCAUGCUACAAUGGCCGGUACAAAGGGUUGCGAUACUGUGAGGUGGAGCUAAUCCCAAAAAGCCGGUCUCAGUUCGGAUUGGGGUCUGCAACUCGACCCCAUGAAGUCGGAGUCGCUAGUAAUCGCAGAUCAGCAACGCUGCGGUGAAUACGUUCCCGGGCCUUGUACACACCGCCCGUCAAGUCACGAAAGUUGGUAACACCCGAAGCCGGUGG